GAUGAACGCUGGCGGCGUGCCUAAUACAUGCAAGUCGAGCGAACAGACGAGGAGCUUGCUCCUCUGACGUUAGCGGCGGACGGGUGAGUAACACGUGGAUAACCUACCUAUAAGACUGGGAUAACUUCGGGAAACCGGAGCUAAUACCGGAUAAUAUAUUGAACCGCAUGGUUCAAUAGUGAAAGACGGUUUUGCUGUCACUUAUAGAUGGAUCCGCGCCGCAUUAGCUAGUUGGUAAGGUAACGGCUUACCAAGGCAACGAUGCGUAGCCGACCUGAGAGGGUGAUCGGCCACACUGGAACUGAGACACGGUCCAGACUCCUACGGGAGGCAGCAGUAGGGAAUCUGCCGCAAUGGGCGAAAGCCUGACGGAGCAACGCCGCGUGAGUGAUGAAGGUCUUCGGAUCGUAAAACUCUGUUAUUAGGGAAGACAAAUGUGUAAGUAACUAUGCACGUCUUGACGGUACCUAAUCAGAAAGCCACGGCUAACUACGUG
This 496-nucleotide ribosomal RNA is filed under the name uncultured bacterium. RNAcentral describes it as "partial 16S ribosomal RNA". It matches the Rfam family "Bacterial small subunit ribosomal RNA", at positions 28 to 507 of the family's 1533-position model. The record is from RNAcentral.